Molecule: ribosomal RNA, 497 nt
Filed under: uncultured bacterium
Lineage: Bacteria
Description: partial 16S ribosomal RNA
Rfam family: Bacterial small subunit ribosomal RNA
Source: RNAcentral
GAUGAACGCUGGCGGCGUGCCUAAUACAUGCAAGUCGAGCGAACAGACGAGAAGCUUGCUCCUCUGACGUUAGCGGCGGACGGGUGAGUAACACGUGGAUAACCUACCUAUAAGACUGGGAUAACUUCGGGAAACCGGAGCUAAUACCGGAUAACAUGUUGAACCGCAUGGUUCAAAAGUGAAAGACGGUCUUGCUGUCACUUAUAGAUGGAUCCGCGCCGCAUUAGCUAGUUGGUAAGGUAACGGCUUACCAAGGCAACGAUGCGUAGCCGACCUGAGAGGGUGAUCGGCCACACUGGAACUGAGACACGGUCCAGACUCCUACGGGAGGCAGCAGUAGGGAAUCUUCCGCAAUGGGCGAAAGCCUGACGGAGCAACGCCGCGUGAGUGAAGAAGGUCUUCGGGUCGUAAAACUCUGUUAUUAGGGAAGAACAAAUGUGUAAGUAACUAUGCACGUCUUGACGGUACCUAAUCAGAAAGCCACGGCUAACUACGUG